Molecule: microRNA precursor, 205 nt
Filed under: Oryza sativa Japonica Group (Japanese rice)
Lineage: Eukaryota; Viridiplantae; Streptophyta; Magnoliopsida; Poales; Poaceae
Description: MIR812 microRNA precursor family
Rfam family: MIR812 microRNA precursor family
Source: Rfam by way of RNAcentral
AAUGUAUGACGCCGUUGACUUUUUGUCCAACGUUUGACCAUUCGUCUUAUUCAAAAAAUUUAUAUAAUUAUCAUUUAUUUUAUUAUGACUUGAUUCGUCAUCAAAUAUUCUUUAAGUAUGACAUAAAUAUUUUUAUAUUUACACAAAAAAUUUGAAUAAAAUGAAUGGUCAAACGUUUGUCGAAAAGUCAACGGCAUCAUACAUU